Molecule: ribosomal RNA, 274 nt
Filed under: uncultured bacterium
Lineage: Bacteria
Description: partial 16S ribosomal RNA
Rfam family: Bacterial small subunit ribosomal RNA
Source: RNAcentral
AUACAGAGGGUGCGAGCGUUAAUCGGAAUUACUGGGCGUAAAGCGCGCGUAGGCGGUUAUUUAAGUCAGAUGUGAAAUCCCUGGGCUCAACCUAGGAACUGCAUCUGAAACUGGAUAACUAGAGUUUAGGAGAGGGGAGUAGAAUUUCGGGUGUAGCGGUGAAAUGCAUAGAGAUCCGAAGGAAUACCAGUGGCGAAGGCGACUCCCUGGCCUAGAACUGACGCUGAGGUGCGAAAGCGUGGGUAGCAAACGGGAUUAGAAACCCCAGUAGUCC